This 301-nucleotide ribosomal RNA is filed under the name uncultured bacterium. RNAcentral describes it as "partial 16S ribosomal RNA". It matches the Rfam family "Bacterial small subunit ribosomal RNA", at positions 509 to 808 of the family's 1533-position model. The record is from RNAcentral.
CAGCCGCCACGGUAAUACGGAGGGUGCAAGCGUUAAUCGGAAUUACUGGGCGUAAAGCGCACGCAGGCGGUUUGUUAAGUCAGAUGUGAAAUCCCCGAGCUUAACUUGGGAACUGCAUUUGAAACUGGCAAGCUAGAGUCUUGCAGAGGGGGGUAGAAUUCCAGGUGUAGCGGUGAAAUGCGUAGAGAUCUGGAGGAGUACCGGUGGCGAAGGCGGCCCCCUGGACAAAGACUGACGCUCAGGUGCGAAAGCGUGGGGAGCAAACAGGAUUAGAUACCCCAGUAGUCCCUGUCUCUAUACA